Alligator mississippiensis (American alligator) is the source of this 1739-nucleotide long non-coding RNA. RefSeq lists it as uncharacterized. The transcript has 4 exons. Lineage: Eukaryota; Metazoa; Chordata; Crocodylia; Alligatoridae. The record is from RefSeq and is a predicted model, not a curated record.
GUGCAGUGACAUGGUUGUCUCCUUCUUUUCAGACCACCUUGUGGGAGAAGCAGCUGGGACUUGUUUAACUCACCAAAACAGAUUAAAGGAUAUUGCUUAAUCUGGUUUCUGGCAAUCGGAUAAGUCUCCUGAAUUCUGCAUUUUACAUAAUACCAGUAUGCCCCAAACAGGAUCAUGCUUCUACUAUGUAAGGUACAGCACAAAUGAAGUAACACACACACACAGGCUCUGACCUAAAGAACUUAGUCUAACCAAUCCAGCUGAGUCUGAAAGUUGUUUCAGUCUGAUAGCUGUCUGAUGGCCUAUGCAAAAUGAAUUUGGUUGCUUGAGUGCAUUUUGCAGCGGACAGGCCACCAAAAAAAACAGCUCAUAACUAAUACUAAUUUGCAUCCUCAUUGGCAUGCUCAGCUGAGAGGUUGAGACUUGACUGGACCUGGAGACUGAAAUACCAUCUACUCACUGAGGUGGGACCUAAGGAGACUGAAUCCCCAAGGACGUACUCUAUGGUGAGCUGACCAUUGGCUAACAUCAACUUGGGUGACCCAAACUCCAUUGUUGACGUGUGCAAGAAAAAACUUUGUGAGCUGUGCAUUGAUGGCUAAUGCUGGGAAUCAAUUGGUUCGGACCACUGCAAGUAGAAAACCUCCGUGAAGCACAGCCUAUGUCAUUUUGAGAUGCAGAGGGUUAAUGGUGAGCUAGAGAAAAGGCUUCGGAGGCAGGCAAGACAAAACAAUACUCAUCACGCCAGUGCAAGUUCAACUGAGUUUGUACGUGCAGCUUGCCAGAGGGUCUGUCUGUUACACAUUGGACUCAGCCACUCAAGAAGCAUUGGGGGUAUCUGAUAGCCCACCAAAGGCACAAUAUCCACUGUCUCCCAAGACUGAUGGCUGCCAAUGAUGAUGACUUUUGUUCUACUUAGAGAUGGGUUUGGUGUAAGAAUCUAUAGAAGCAGCAAGUGUUAUAGAAUACUUAGUGCAUAGAAGCUUGCUUCCCUCAUUCUGUUUCCUUCUUUUGAUUUUUCUCACCAUUUUGAUGAGCCAGGAACAUUAGGUCUUUGGUAAAGCUUGAAGAGGGGGAAAGGUAUAACAAAAAGCCCACACAAUACUGGCUAGCAGCCCAGACAAUGGCCUGGACAAUUAUGAGUUGAUAUACUGAACAGAAUGAUCAGAACUAAUGUGUUGCUUAUUGAUUACAUUAUGACAAGCCAUUAUGUGACAAGCUCUUAAGUGAGUGUUAGGCACAGCUUCCGAGUCUGUAGGUGUAUGUCAGUUAUACUUAUUCUGUCUGCCUUCUUUUGUGUUUCCUUGUGUAUAUGUGACCAGUAAAAUAGUGGGGUAGACAGGACAAGACAUAGCAUUCAUUGGAAAGGGGCCUAACUGAAAAUCUCAGCUGCAAUCCUUAUCUAUGAAUUUUGGGGAGUGCUGUUUGUAAUCUGGAUCUGAAUUUUUGUGGCCUAUCAUUUUAUUCAUCUGCUGUGAGCCUAUGGUAGUAUCAUCAUCAUCAUCAUAAAUGAACCCAUGUUGCACUGACUGUGUAGUUUUGCCAGGAGUUGAUGCUGCCUCUCCUACCUGCAGUGUCUGGCAUGGAAGCCAGGCACUUGCCAAAGAUGGAGGUGGAUUGAGCAGGGAGCAGGAAAAACUGUGUCAAGUGUUGAGGGCAGACACAGUCCCAGCCUGCUUGCUGUUCCGGGUGCGUGCCCCAGCGUGGGCUUCUAAAGGCACCUGAAUCCUGGGCAGGCA